RNAcentral lists this ribosomal RNA (550 nucleotides) under uncultured bacterium. RNAcentral describes it as "bacterial SSU rRNA". It matches the Rfam family "Bacterial small subunit ribosomal RNA", at positions 355 to 896 of the family's 1533-position model. The record is from RNAcentral.
UAGGGAAUCUUCCGCAAUGGACGAAAGUCUGACGGAGCAACGCCGCGUGAAUGAUGAAGGCUUCGGGUCGUAAAGUUCUGUUGUUAGGGAAGAACAAGUACCGUUCGAAUAGGGCGGUACCUUGACGGUACCUAACCAGAAAGCCACGGCUAACUACGUGCCAGCAGCCGCGGUAAUACGUAGGUGGCAAGCGUUGUCCGGAAUUAUUGGGCGUAAAGCGCGCGCAGGCGGUUUUUUAAGUCUGAUGUGAAAGCCCACGGCUCAACCGUGGAGGGUCAUUGGAAACUGGAGAACUUGAGUGCAGAAGAGGAGAGCGGAAUUCCACGUGUAGCGGUGAAAUGCGUAGAGAUGUGGAGGAACACCAGUGGCGAAGGCGGCUCUCUGGUCUGUAACUGACGCUGAGGCGCGAAAGCGUGGGGAGCAAACAGGAUUAGAUACCCUUNUAGUCCGCGCCGUAAACGAUGAGUGCUAAGUGUUAGAGGGUUUCCGCCCUUUAGUGCUGCAGCAAACGCAUUAAGCACUCCGCCUGGGGAGUACGGUCGCAAGGCUG